GACGAACGCUGGCGGCGUGCUUAACACAUGCCAGUCGAACGGAAAGGCCCUGCUUGCAGGGUACUCGAGUGGCGAACGGGUGAGUAACACGUGGGUGAUCUGCCCUGCACUUCGGGAUAAGCCUGGGAAACCGGGUCUAAUACCGGAUAGGAGCCAUUUUUAGUGUGAUGGUUGGAAAGUUUUUUCGGUGUAGGAUGAGCUCGCGGCCUAUCAGCUUGUUGGUGGGGUAAUGGCCUACCAAGGCGGCGACGGGUAGCCGGCCUGAGAGGGUGGACGGCCACAUUGGGACUGAGAUACGGCCCAGACUCCUACGGGAGGCAGCAGUGGGGAAUAUUGCACAAUGGGCGCAAGCCUGAUGCAGCGACGCCGCGUGGGGGAUGACGGCCUUCGGGUUGUAAACUCCUUUCGCUAGGGACGAAGCUUUUUGUGACGGUACCUAGAUAAGAAGCACCGGCUAACUACGUG
Molecule: ribosomal RNA, 465 nt
Filed under: uncultured bacterium
Lineage: Bacteria
Description: partial 16S ribosomal RNA
Rfam family: Bacterial small subunit ribosomal RNA
Source: RNAcentral